UCAACAACAAUCUCAUGAUCAACAGCUCCUAAAUCGCGAUGCGUCAACAACUUCGAAUCCGAUGAACCCAACCCAUCUAGCUCCACAUUUACCCGCUACCAACCCAUUCGUGGUCUUCCUCACUCCGUCACACUCGAGUCCAUAUGAGAAAGACCUAGAAGCUUCUAGAAAAGUGAUGCAUCAGCCCCUUCUAAUGUUCGAAUCGUAGAUCUUUCGGGUUGAUUGGUACGAUUUCGUACGUAGUUGGGGGAUUUUCAUUGACUAUUGAAUACCAUUUAUUUUUUCGAAAUGGUAUUGGUCCACGUAUUUCAAUUUCUUUGAAAAUUGGCAAUUGAUACCAAUUAUUAGUUGGAAAUUACAUCUUUAGUUGGAAUUUCAAAUUACCUCCACAGAAAAUCCUGAAAUUACCCUCGAUUGGUCUCUGUAGAGAGCUCACUGAUGAGCUGGGAAGGGGUUGGAAUUUUUGGUAGUCUAAAAAGGUUGAAAAAAAUUUAGGGUUUUCGUUUUCAGCUUGAGAGUCUCUUUUAGGGUUGGAGUCCUGGGAGUCAGAAAUUGGGUUUUCGACUUUUGGGGUUCAAAAAUCAGAGUUUGAAGAUCCUGGGGGUCAGGAUUCUUUUUUAUGUUCUCUUCUUUGAGGGUUCAAAUUUUUGUCCAGCAAAUUCUAGGGCCUUUAUUCAGGGAAGACAGAAGCCGUGAGAAACGAAGUUUUUCGAAAGUCGGGUUAGGAACUCUAAAAUCAAAAAGUUAUUUCGCAUAAUUUUCUCGUCACUUCUUUCUGGAAGCUAGUCACUCAAUUGGGAGUACCCGAGUUGACAACAUCAAGUUCCCAGCAAUGAUUACUAUGCUGAUAGCUCGUUUGUUCCAUUUUGCUACCCCGAAGGAGGUAAACAUACUCUUACCCCUUUUAACUUAUCGAUUUCUUCUUUAUCCCUCUUUCUUUAUGGUAAUAUUUGUUUGUUUGUUGAUGAAUAAGGCUGGGUUGUUCGCUGUAAAAAGCCUUAAAGGCCGUAGGUUUUGUGAAAGCAAUGUUGUCUGUAUUGUCUGGUUAUGAUGGUUUUGCCUUAGUUUCUAUUGCUUAUUUUGACAUUGUUGAUUAGUUUUGUCCUGUUUCUUAUUAAGUAUAGUGACCGUUGUGUGGGUCGAUGGUUUAUCAUCUAGAGUUGCUCCUUUGAUGGUCGUUCUAUUAUUUAUCUAAGUGUCAUUGGGUUUCAUUCGUUGUUAUUGUAGUCUAAAGUAUUUAAUGAAAAAUCCAAAGAUCUCUCGACGGUCGUGUCGUUUGAUCGAAAGAGAGGAUUAGAAUGAUUUGAUGACUCAUUCGUUGUGACUGUUUGACAUAGUUUUGGACUGUGUAUUUUCCUACUCAGCUGGUAACAUUGCUAGCAGAGCUGCCUCUCAAGUCUCUUUGGCUUCUCACGUGCCAAAGGGAUAAUGAGUAAGAGCCAAGAUGGGCUAUAAAUGCCUGUGAUUCCUCGAUGAUCAUAUCGGCUACCAAAAGCUUAUCCUUUUGGGUUUGUCGAAAAAAGAGUGAGGAUGAGGAUAGUAGACUUUGCUACGUUUCCAUUUGGUUUAAUGGGUUAUGUCUUUUGCCUCGUCUUAAAACUCGAAUUUUAGACUCCCAUCCUUCCUUGGGUUUCAUCCUCAGUGGGGAGACACAUUAGAAGGAUAAACAUGGUAAUAUUUUGGGGUACUAGAUAUUCGAAUGUGUCCUGUUCAGGGCAGUAGCCUAAUUUUGUUGUUAUCAUACUGCAUAUAAUUUAUGUUCAGGCUAAGGAUUCCCAAGGAUCUUUCUUUGUCAACAAUAAUCAAGAAGGUAGGGAUGAAUUUGCAUUUAUGUUACAUUCAAUAUAGGAUUAGGGAUGGGACAACACAUCAUAACUGUUUGUCUUCAUCCUGAAAUACCUGCUGCCAGGACCUAAUGCGGCAGGUAACUUAAGCACUCUUCCAGAUUCAAAUAUUUUUUUUGUGGCCAGGUGUAAUUAAGCUGUUGUCAUUGUCGAGGUUAUUAUUUUAAGUGAUAGAAAAAGCUAAAAAUUGGAAGAAAAUUGGUUUUCUUCGAAAGGGUAAGAAGUCAGCUACGGCUGCGAAUCAUGAGACAAACAUUAGGGAUCUCGUUCUCCAGGCUACUGUUGUGUGCUUUAUGCUUCGACUUCCUGAUGUUUACCUCCUUGAUAGAAUUUAAUAGCAUGUAAAUGUCUUCAAAACCUCGUCCAUCUGCUGACUAUUAUGUUUAGCUCGACAGAAUUUUGAAAUCAGUUUUCCUUUAGUGGUGUUGUUGGAGUGACCGAACAUGAAUCAUAGGUUAUUCUGAUCAUGAACAUCUCUCAAACAAACUUACAGUAUGUUAUGCAUUAUCUACGUUGUCCCUCAUCAUACGCUCUUGGGUACCAAGCAUGUCGUUUAUGCCAGAAUGUAAAUAAAAGUUUGCAUCAAGACAUCAUUUACUUAGCAUGCUAUUUGACUAUAUGAACACACCCUCAUUCUUUCUAAUUAGUCUUUCCUACAUUUUUGCUUUCUCAUGUGAUCGAGUAUAAGUGGUCGCUCUAUGCUUUAUUUCUUCAAAUGCUCCUACGCUACAUACCUUAUUUAUUUCCUUGAUUGGAUUUUUGUGUUUACAUUUUUCAAUUCCCUUUCUUUUUUUAGUUGAUCAUGUCUUUACAUUCUUUAUCUCUCCUGUUUUGCAUGAAUCCACAGUGGAGUUCAAGUAGACUAUCUCCGGUGCAUUCCUCAUCGGGCCAAUGAGGCCUAUCUUAUUGAGUCCAGUCCAAUGACCUAAAAGUGACCCUGCGGUGAUGAAUACGAGGAGUUAGAAAAAGAAAGGCGAGUUAAAGACCCACAUUUAAAGUGGCUUGAGUAACUCUAAUCUUGAUGAUUUCUACCAUGAAAAUGGCCUUGGUAAAGGCAUGCACAUAAGGUGUUUGUGAAAAUGUCUAAGUAAAUUGUCUAGUCUUAUGUUGGUGAUGUUUUGAACAAGGAAAAUGACCCAAUAAGUAUGAAUUAUUAUUAUAUGAUAUUGUAAAAGUAUUACUAGCCAUGUAUUAUAAAAUUGAUGAUCGUGUUAGUUGAUGGUUAAUGAGGGGUUAAAGUUUCUAUUCAUGAAUAUGAACUUGAAUUGUGUGUUGAACUAAAGUGUGGUAAGAAUGUGGUCUAAGAUUACUAAUGAUAUGUGAACAGUUUGUGAAGGUCUUGAUGACCUUAAAUAGGAUUGUAUAAUAAAUUAAGUCAUUGGUCUAUUGAAAUAGUUGAGCAAUGAAGGCUCCCAUGAGAACCAUAUGGUCAUGUAUAGUAUUGAAUUGUCUAAAUGGGUUAAAGUCCUUAAGUGUGAAUUGAAUAGCUGAUGAUUUAUGGACAAAGGGUUGGAGUCCUAAUGUCGACUAGUGAUAGUCGUAAUGGCUCGAGGUUAAAGUCUCUUUCCUAAUGAAAGGGCUUGAGUUAAAGUCCCAUGCCUAAUGAAAUCGCUUAUGGUUAAAGUCCCUUGUACAAUAAGAUCUCUUGAGGUUGAAGUGCCUCGCCAAAUGAAAUGGCUUGGGUUAGAGUCCCCUAUCUAAUAAGGUAUGAGGUUAGAGUCCCUUGCCAAAUGUACAGGAAUGUGGUUAGGGUCCCUUGCCUAAAUGAAUGUGUGUGUGUGGUAAGAGUCCCUUGCCUAAAUGAAUAUGCAUGUGUGGUUAGAGUCCCUUGCUUAAAUGGAUAUGUGUGUGGUUAGAAUCCCUUGCUUAAUGAGUGUAUAGAUGGUUAAAGUCCUUAAUUUAAGUAAUAUAUAAAUGUGGUUGAAGUAUUAUACUUAAUAAGAAUUGUUUGAAUCUAAGUGUGGAAGGUCAGAGUCCUUCACUUUAUGUCUCAUGAUUGAGUGCUUUGAGAAUAUUGUUAAGGAUUGUUUACUUGUUUGGCAUGUGAUAUACCUACAUGUAUGGAUAAGGUCAUAAAGAUGGGUAAAUAUAAUAUAUUGACUUGUUGUUGAUUGAUGAUGUUAUUUUAUCCUUAUCCUAGAGUUAGAUGCUAGCGCUCCAAUUGCUAAUCAUCUCCGGAUGUUAUGUCCUUACACGACAUAGGGGUUGUUGACACCUAAUUUUUCCCCUCCACAACUACGUUUAAUCUCGAGUUUCUUCGAUUUUCAAAUAAAAUCACAACAAUUAUUUUUCCAAAUAAAGGCAUUUUAAAAUAGGCAUUUGGGCUAAUUUUGUCAUUUAAGUGAUAAUAAUAUAAUUUCGUAUUUGCAUAUACGAGAUUGUAUAAAUGAUGUCAUUUAAAUGAACAUCUUCAUCAAAUUGGGCUUUAAAUUAAGGAUUAUUUGAAAAAUAAAUAAAUAAUUAUAAUCUUAAUUUAAACAUCAUUUAUUCUGAAAAUAAUUUUGUUUGAUUUUAUCGAAUCAAGAAGUUUGGGGUUAAAACGGGUAUUAAUUCGUAUCGAAUUUAGUCUGUCUAUUAGAUUUGACCAUAAUUGAAAUCAAAUUGGCUAUGAUUGCAAUGCAAUUGACUAAUUAACUUUCAAUUUCGUUUAAAUUUAAAUAGAUGGCUAAAUUAGAACUGAAGUUAUUUCUGAACAACCUUUAGUCCAAUUGGGGUUUAUUUUUCCUAAAUUUAAUCGGGAUUAUUUUAACUUUUAACCCCAAUUAUUAACCCAAUUAAACUAAUACCAAUUGCCCAUUUCUUUUUCUUUUAAACGUUACCAGCCCAAUCCCUCCUAAAUAAUAUACUGCAGCCUCAAUUUGGCCCAAAUAUCCCAAUAAACCGCCCCAGCUAGCCCAACAAUAACAAUUUCUCCAACCAAGACCCCAACCCGGCCCAUUUCUUAUAAUCUUUAACAAUACUGCAGCUUCCAAACAGUGCCCAUAUCAACAACAAUCUCAUGAUCAACAGCUCCUAAAUCGCGAUGCGUCAACAACUUCGAAUCCGAUGAACCCAACCCAUCUAGCUCCACAUUUACCCGCUACCAACCCAUUCGUGGUCUUCCUCACUCCGUCACACUCGAGUCCAUAUGAGAAAGACCUAGAAGCUUCUAGAAAAGUGAUGCAUCAGCCCCUUCUAAUGUUCGAAUCGUAGAUCUUUCGGGUUGAUUGGUACGAUUUCGUACGUAGUUGGGGGAUUUUCAUUGACUAUUGAAUACCAUUUAUUUUUUCGAAAUGGUAUUGGUCCACGUAUUUCAAUUUCUUUGAAAAUUGGCAAUUGAUACCAAUUAUUAGUUGGAAAUUACAUCUUUAGUUGGAAUUUCAAAUUACCUCCACAGAAAAUCCUGAAAUUACCCUCGAUUGGUCUCUGUAGAGAGCUCACUGAUGAGCUGGGAAGGGGUUGGAAUUUUUGGUAGUCUAAAAAGGUUGAAAAAAAUUUAGGGUUUUCGUUUUCAGCUUGAGAGUCUCUUUUAGGGUUGGAGUCCUGGGAGUCAGAAAUUGGGUUUUCGACUUUUGGGGUUCAAAAAUCAGAGUUUGAAGAUCCUGGGGGUCAGGAUUCUUUUUUAUGUUCUCUUCUUUGAGGGUUCAAAUUUUUGUCCAGCAAAUUCUAGGGCCUUUAUUCAGGGAAGACAGAAGCCGUGAGAAACGAAGUUUUUCGAAAGUCGGGUUAGGAACUCUAAAAUCAAAAAGUUAUUUCGCAUAAUUUUCUCGUCACUUCUUUCUGGAAGCUAGUCACUCAAUUGGGAGUACCCGAGUUGACAACAUCAAGUUCCCAGCAAUGAUUACUAUGCUGAUAGCUCGUUUGUUCCAUUUUGCUACCCCGAAGGAGGUAAACAUACUCUUACCCCUUUUAACUUAUCGAUUUCUUCUUUAUCCCUCUUUCUUUAUGGUAAUAUUUGUUUGUUUGUUGAUGAAUAAGGCUGGGUUGUUCGCUGUAAAAAGCCUUAAAGGCCGUAGGUUUUGUGAAAGCAAUGUUGUCUGUAUUGUCUGGUUAUGAUGGUUUUGCCUUAGUUUCUAUUGCUUAUUUUGACAUUGUUGAUUAGUUUUGUCCUGUUUCUUAUUAAGUAUAGUGACCGUUGUGUGGGUCGAUGGUUUAUCAUCUAGAGUUGCUCCUUUGAUGGUCGUUCUAUUAUUUAUCUAAGUGUCAUUGGGUUUCAUUCGUUGUUAUUGUAGUCUAAAGUAUUUAAUGAAAAAUCCAAAGAUCUCUCGACGGUCGUGUCGUUUGAUCGAAAGAGAGGAUUAGAAUGAUUUGAUGACUCAUUCGUUGUGACUGUUUGACAUAGUUUUGGACUGUGUAUUUUCCUACUCAGCUGGUAACAUUGCUAGCAGAGCUGCCUCUCAAGUCUCUUUGGCUUCUCACGUGCCAAAGGGAUAAUGAGUAAGAGCCAAGAUGGGCUAUAAAUGCCUGUGAUUCCUCGAUGAUCAUAUCGGCUACCAAAAGCUUAUCCUUUUGGGUUUGUCGAAAAAAGAGUGAGGAUGAGGAUAGUAGACUUUGCUACGUUUCCAUUUGGUUUAAUGGGUUAUGUCUUUUGCCUCGUCUUAAAACUCGAAUUUUAGACUCCCAUCCUUCCUUGGGUUUCAUCCUCAGUGGGGAGACACAUUAGAAGGAUAAACAUGGUAAUAUUUUGGGGUACUAGAUAUUCGAAUGUGUCCUGUUCAGGGCAGUAGCCUAAUUUUGUUGUUAUCAUACUGCAUAUAAUUUAUGUUCAGGCUAAGGAUUCCCAAGGAUCUUUCUUUGUCAACAAUAAUCAAGAAGGUAGGGAUGAAUUUGCAUUUAUGUUACAUUCAAUAUAGGAUUAGGGAUGGGACAACACAUCAUAACUGUUUGUCUUCAUCCUGAAAUACCUGCUGCCAGGACCUAAUGCGGCAGGUAACUUAAGCACUCUUCCAGAUUCAAUUUUCCAAAUAAAGGCAUUUUAAAAUAGGCAUUUGGGCUAAUUUUGUCAUUUAAGUGAUAAUAAUAUAAUUUCGUAUUUGCAUAUACGAGAUUGUAUAAAUGAUGUCAUUUAAAUGAACAUCUUCAUCAAAUUGGGCUUUAAAUUAAGGAUUAUUUGAAAAAUAAAUAAAUAAUUAUAAUCUUAAUUUAAACAUCAUUUAUUCUGAAAAUAAUUUUGUUUGAUUUUAUCGAAUCAAGAAGUUUGGGGUUAAAACGGGUAUUAAUUCGUAUCGAAUUUAGUCUGUCUAUUAGAUUUGACCAUAAUUGAAAUCAAAUUGGCUAUGAUUGCAAUGCAAUUGACUAAUUAACUUUCAAUUUCGUUUAAAUUUAAAUAGAUGGCUAAAUUAGAACUGAAGUUAUUUCUGAACAACCUUUAGUCCAAUUGGGGUUUAUUUUUCCUAAAUUUAAUCGGGAUUAUUUUAACUUUUAACCCCAAUUAUUAACCCAAUUAAACUAAUACCAAUUGCCCAUUUCUUUUUCUUUUAAACGUUACCAGCCCAAUCCCUCCUAAAUAAUAUACUGCAGCCUCAAUUUGGCCCAAAUAUCCCAAUAAACCGCCCCAGCUAGCCCAACAAUAACAAUUUCUCCAACCAAGACCCCAACCCGGCCCAUUUCUUAUAAUCUUUAACAAUACUGCAGCUUCCAAACAGUGCCCAUAUCAACAACAAUCUCAUGAUCAACAGCUCCUAAAUCGCGAUGCGUCAACAACUUCGAAUCCGAUGAACCCAACCCAUCUAGCUCCACAUUUACCCGCUACCAACCCAUUCGUGGUCUUCCUCACUCCGUCACACUCGAGUCCAUAUGAGAAAGACCUAGAAGCUUCUAGAAAAGUGAUGCAUCAGCCCCUUCUAAUGUUCGAAUCGUAGAUCUUUCGGGUUGAUUGGUACGAUUUCGUACGUAGUUGGGGGAUUUUCAUUGACUAUUGAAUACCAUUUAUUUUUUCGAAAUGGUAUUGGUCCACGUAUUUCAAUUUCUUUGAAAAUUGGCAAUUGAUACCAAUUAUUAGUUGGAAAUUACAUCUUUAGUUGGAAUUUCAAAUUACCUCCACAGAAAAUCCUGAAAUUACCCUCGAUUGGUCUCUGUAGAGAGCUCACUGAUGAGCUGGGAAGGGGUUGGAAUUUUUGGUAGUCUAAAAAGGUUGAAAAAAAUUUAGGGUUUUCGUUUUCAGCUUGAGAGUCUCUUUUAGGGUUGGAGUCCUGGGAGUCAGAAAUUGGGUUUUCGACUUUUGGGGUUCAAAAAUCAGAGUUUGAAGAUCCUGGGGGUCAGGAUUCUUUUUUAUGUUCUCUUCUUUGAGGGUUCAAAUUUUUGUCCAGCAAAUUCUAGGGCCUUUAUUCAGGGAAGACAGAAGCCGUGAGAAACGAAGUUUUUCGAAAGUCGGGUUAGGAACUCUAAAAUCAAAAAGUUAUUUCGCAUAAUUUUCUCGUCACUUCUUUCUGGAAGCUAGUCACUCAAUUGGGAGUACCCGAGUUGACAACAUCAAGUUCCCAGCAAUGAUUACUAUGCUGAUAGCUCGUUUGUUCCAUUUUGCUACCCCGAAGGAGGUAAACAUACUCUUACCCCUUUUAACUUAUCGAUUUCUUCUUUAUCCCUCUUUCUUUAUGGUAAUAUUUGUUUGUUUGUUGAUGAAUAAGGCUGGGUUGUUCGCUGUAAAAAGCCUUAAAGGCCGUAGGUUUUGUGAAAGCAAUGUUGUCUGUAUUGUCUGGUUAUGAUGGUUUUGCCUUAGUUUCUAUUGCUUAUUUUGACAUUGUUGAUUAGUUUUGUCCUGUUUCUUAUUAAGUAUAGUGACCGUUGUGUGGGUCGAUGGUUUAUCAUCUAGAGUUGCUCCUUUGAUGGUCGUUCUAUUAUUUAUCUAAGUGUCAUUGGGUUUCAUUCGUUGUUAUUGUAGUCUAAAGUAUUUAAUGAAAAAUCCAAAGAUCUCUCGACGGUCGUGUCGUUUGAUCGAAAGAGAGGAUUAGAAUGAUUUGAUGACUCAUUCGUUGUGACUGUUUGACAUAGUUUUGGACUGUGUAUUUUCCUACUCAGCUGGUAACAUUGCUAGCAGAGCUGCCUCUCAAGUCUCUUUGGCUUCUCACGUGCCAAAGGGAUAAUGAGUAAGAGCCAAGAUGGGCUAUAAAUGCCUGUGAUUCCUCGAUGAUCAUAUCGGCUACCAAAAGCUUAUCCUUUUGGGUUUGUCGAAAAAAGAGUGAGGAUGAGGAUAGUAGACUUUGCUACGUUUCCAUUUGGUUUAAUGGGUUAUGUCUUUUGCCUCGUCUUAAAACUCGAAUUUUAGACUCCCAUCCUUCCUUGGGUUUCAUCCUCAGUGGGGAGACACAUUAGAAGGAUAAACAUGGUAAUAUUUUGGGGUACUAGAUAUUCGAAUGUGUCCUGUUCAGGGCAGUAGCCUAAUUUUGUUGUUAUCAUACUGCAUAUAAUUUAUGUUCAGUCUAAGGAUUCCCAAGGAUCUUUCUUGGUCAACAAUAAUCAAGAAGGUAGGGAUGAAUUUGCAUUUAUGUUACAUUCAAUAUAGGAUUAGGGAUGGGACAACACAUCAUAACUGUUUGUCUUCAUCCUGAAAUACCUGCUGCCAGGACCUAAUGCGGCAGGUAACUUAAGCACUCUUCCAGAUUCAAAUAUUUUUUUUGUGGCCAGGUGUAAUUAAGCUGUUGUCAUUGUCGAGGUUAUUAUUUUAAGUGAUAGAAAAAGCUAAAAAUUGGAAGAAAAUUGGUUUUCUUCGAAAGGGUAAGAAGUCAGCUACGGCUGCGAAUCAUGAGACAAACAUUAGGGAUCUCGUUCUCCAGGCUACUGUUGUGUGCUUUAUGCUUCGACUUCCUGAUGUUUACCUCCUUGAUAGAAUUUAAUAGCAUGUAAAUGUCUUCAAAACCUCGUCCAUCUGCUGACUAUUAUGUUUAGCUCGACAGAAUUUUGAAAUCAGUUUUCCUUUAGUGGUGUUGUUGGAGUGACCGAACAUGAAUCAUAGGUUAUUCUGAUCAUGAACAUCUCUCAAACAAACUUACAGUAUGUUAUGCAUUAUCUACGUUGUCCCUCAUCAUACGCUCUUGGGUACCAAGCAUGUCGUUUAUGCCAGAAUGUAAAUAAAAGUUUGCAUCAAGACAUCAUUUACUUAGCAUGCUAUUUGACUAUAUGAACACACCCUCAUUCUUUCUAAUUAGUCUUUCCUACAUUUUUGCUUUCUCAUGUGAUCGAGUAUAAGUGGUCGCUCUAUGCUUUAUUUCUUCAAAUGCUCCUACGCUACAUACCUUAUUUAUUUCCUUGAUUGGAUUUUUGUGUUUACAUUUUUCAAUUCCCUUUCUUUUUUUAGUUGAUCAUGUCUUUACAUUCUUUAUCUCUCCUGUUUUGCAUGAAUCCACUGUGGAGUUCAAGUGGACUGUCUCCGGUGCAUCCCUCAUCGGGCCAAUGAGGCCUAUCUUAUUGAGUCCAGUCCAAUGACCUAAAAGUGACCCUGCGGUGAUGAAUACGAGGAGUUAGAAAAAGAAAGGCGAGUUAAAGACCCACAUUUAAAGUGGCUAAGAGACUCCGAAGUCUCAUUUGUUGUUUAAUUUGUUUAAGUAUUAUUGUCUUUAUUUUAUUUUUCUUAUUUAUUCAUCAUUCAUUUGGGCCACAAAUCCAAAGUUUUAUUUAAUACAAUUGGAGCAAGAUUCACCCCAAAGGCUCGAAAACUAGAUUAGGACAAGUGAAAUGGGUUGAAAUCCCAAUUAGAAUAGGACAGGUUUUGUUGAUUUGGGCCCAAUGGCCUAAAUCAUUUACUUUCUCCUCCCUUCCCCUUUUAUUGUUUACUUACUUAUUCAUUUUAUUUAGACUUAGUUUAAAAUCCCUAAUAAGUUGCCUAAAUCUAUUUUAAACAAAUCAUUUUCUAAAACCAAUCACUUUCGACAAAUUAAUCUUUUUCCGAAGUUAGUCAAAAGACGUUUUCAAACAGUCCAGAUAACCGCAAGUUAGCGGACGUUUUAGCUGCCUAACACCUUCCUAAAACGUU
Molecule: long non-coding RNA, 10791 nt
Filed under: Capsicum annuum
Lineage: Eukaryota; Viridiplantae; Streptophyta; Magnoliopsida; Solanales; Solanaceae
Description: long non-coding RNA (CANN_LNC017368)
Source: RNAcentral